RNAcentral lists this ribosomal RNA (2900 nucleotides) under Escherichia coli KTE75. Its description in RNAcentral is "bacterial LSU rRNA". It matches the Rfam family "Bacterial large subunit ribosomal RNA". Lineage: Bacteria; Pseudomonadati; Pseudomonadota; Gammaproteobacteria; Enterobacterales; Enterobacteriaceae. The record is from RNAcentral.
UUAAGCGACUAAGCGUACACGGUGGAUGCCCUGGCAGUCAGAGGCGAUGAAGGACGUGCUAAUCUGCGAUAAGCGUCGGUAAGGUGAUAUGAACCGUUAUAACCGGCGAUUUCCGAAUGGGGAAACCCAGUGUGAUUCGUCACACUAUCAUUAACUGAAUCCAUAGGUUAAUGAGGCGAACCGGGGGAACUGAAACAUCUAAGUACCCCGAGGAAAAGAAAUCAACCGAGAUUCCCCCAGUAGCGGCGAGCGAACGGGGAGCAGCCCAGAGCCUGAAUCAGUGUGUGUGUUAGUGGAAGCGUCUGGAAAGGCGCGCGAUACAGGGUGACAGCCCCGUACACAAAAAUGCACAUGCUGUGAGCUCGAUGAGUAGGGCGGGACACGUGGUAUCCUGUCUGAAUAUGGGGGGACCAUCCUCCAAGGCUAAAUACUCCUGACUGACCGAUAGUGAACCAGUACCGUGAGGGAAAGGCGAAAAGAACCCCGGCGAGGGGAGUGAAAAAGAACCUGAAACCGUGUACGUACAAGCAGUGGGAGCCUCUUUAUGGGGUGACUGCGUACCUUUUGUAUAAUGGGUCAGCGACUUAUAUUCUGUAGCAAGGUUAACCGAAUAGGGGAGCCGAAGGGAAACCGAGUCUUAACUGGGCGUUAAGUUGCAGGGUAUAGACCCGAAACCCGGUGAUCUAGCCAUGGGCAGGUUGAAGGUUGGGUAACACUAACUGGAGGACCGAACCGACUAAUGUUGAAAAAUUAGCGGAUGACUUGUGGCUGGGGGUGAAAGGCCAAUCAAACCGGGAGAUAGCUGGUUCUCCCCGAAAGCUAUUUAGGUAGCGCCUCGUGAAUUCAUCUCCGGGGGUAGAGCACUGUUUCGGCAAGGGGGUCAUCCCGACUUACCAACCCGAUGCAAACUGCGAAUACCGGAGAAUGUUAUCACGGGAGACACACGGCGGGUGCUAACGUCCGUCGUGAAGAGGGAAACAACCCAGACCGCCAGCUAAGGUCCCAAAGUCAUGGUUAAGUGGGAAACGAUGUGGGAAGGCCCAGACAGCCAGGAUGUUGGCUUAGAAGCAGCCAUCAUUUAAAGAAAGCGUAAUAGCUCACUGGUCGAGUCGGCCUGCGCGGAAGAUGUAACGGGGCUAAACCAUGCACCGAAGCUGCGGCAGCGACACUAAGUGUUGUUGGGUAGGGGAGCGUUCUGUAAGCCUGUGAAGGUGUACUGUGAGGUAUGCUGGAGGUAUCAGAAGUGCGAAUGCUGACAUAAGUAACGAUAAAGCGGGUGAAAAGCCCGCUCGCCGGAAGACCAAGGGUUCCUGUCCAACGUUAAUCGGGGCAGGGUGAGUCGACCCCUAAGGCGAGGCCGAAAGGCGUAGUCGAUGGGAAACAGGUUAAUAUUCCUGUACUUGGUGUUACUGCGAAGGGGGGACGGAGAAGGCUAUGUUGGCCGGGCGACGGUUGUCCCGGUUUAAGCGUGUAGGCUGGUUUUCCAGGCAAAUCCGGAAAAUCAAGGCUGAGGCGUGAUGACGAGGCACUACGGUGCUGAAGCAACAAAUGCCCUGCUUCCAGGAAAAGCCUCUAAGCAUCAGGUAACAUCAAAUCGUACCCCAAACCGACACAGGUGGUCAGGUAGAGAAUACCAAGGCGCUUGAGAGAACUCGGGUGAAGGAACUAGGCAAAAUGGUGCCGUAACUUCGGGAGAAGGCACGCUGAUAUGUAGGUGAAGCGACUUGCUCGUGGAGCUGAAAUCAGUCGAAGAUACCAGCUGGCUGCAACUGUUUAUUAAAAACACAGCACUGUGCAAACACGAAAGUGGACGUAUACGGUGUGACGCCUGCCCGGUGCCGGAAGGUUAAUUGAUGGGGUUAGCGCAAGCGAAGCUCUUGAUCGAAGCCCCGGUAAACGGCGGCCGUAACUAUAACGGUCCUAAGGUAGCGAAAUUCCUUGUCGGGUAAGUUCCGACCUGCACGAAUGGCGUAAUGAUGGCCAGGCUGUCUCCACCCGAGACUCAGUGAAAUUGAACUCGCUGUGAAGAUGCAGUGUACCCGCGGCAAGACGGAAAGACCCCGUGAACCUUUACUAUAGCUUGACACUGAACAUUGAGCCUUGAUGUGUAGGAUAGGUGGGAGGCUUUGAAGUGUGGACGCCAGUCUGCAUGGAGCCGACCUUGAAAUACCACCCUUUAAUGUUUGAUGUUCUAACGUUGGCCCCUGAUCGGGGUUGCGGACAGUGUCUGGUGGGUAGUUUGACUGGGGCGGUCUCCUCCUAAAGAGUAACGGAGGAGCACGAAGGUUGGCUAAUCCUGGUCGGACAUCAGGAGGUUAGUGCAAUGGCAUAAGCCAGCUUGACUGCGAGCGUGACGGCGCGAGCAGGUGCGAAAGCAGGUCAUAGUGAUCCGGUGGUUCUGAAUGGAAGGGCCAUCGCUCAACGGAUAAAAGGUACUCCGGGGAUAACAGGCUGAUACCGCCCAAGAGUUCAUAUCGACGGCGGUGUUUGGCACCUCGAUGUCGGCUCAUCACAUCCUGGGGCUGAAGUAGGUCCCAAGGGUAUGGCUGUUCGCCAUUUAAAGUGGUACGCGAGCUGGGUUUAGAACGUCGUGAGACAGUUCGGUCCCUAUCUGCCGUGGGCGCUGGAGAACUGAGGGGGGCUGCUCCUAGUACGAGAGGACCGGAGUGGACGCAUCACUGGUGUUCGGGUUGUCAUGCCAAUGGCACUGCCCGGUAGCUAAAUGCGGAAGAGAUAAGUGCUGAAAGCAUCUAAGCACGAAACUUGCCCCGAGAUGAGUUCUCCCUGACUCCUUGAGAGUCCUGAAGGAACGUUGAAGACGACGACGUUGAUAGGCCGGGUGUGUAAGCGCAGCGAUGCGUUGAGCUAACCGGUACUAAUGAACCGUGAGGCUUAACCUU